Small nuclear RNA from Psammomys obesus (fat sand rat), 185 nucleotides. RefSeq annotates it as U2 spliceosomal RNA. The transcript has a single exon. The record is from RefSeq and is a predicted model, not a curated record. Lineage: Eukaryota; Metazoa; Chordata; Mammalia; Rodentia; Muridae.
AUUUUUCAGCCUCUGGGCUAACAUCAAAUGUAAUACUUGGUUUUUAUCAGUUUAAUAUCUAACGUGUCCUCUAUCUAAGGAAAAUAUGUUGAAUUAGUCUUUAGAGAGAGAGACAGAAUGGGAGCUUGAUCUAUAAAGGCAGGCAUUGGCUUUAUAUUAUAAUACUUUUAGACAUUGCAUUUAAA